AUAUUUUAAUAAUAUAUAUUCAAUGUGGAAAAGAAAGUCCAUUCAUCCAUCCAUGUUCUACCGCUUAUUCCCUUUCGGGGUCACGGGGGGCGCUGGCGCCUAUCUCAGCUACAAUCGCUCAUUAAACAAAAUAGAAAAGGACACCAAAACGCAUCAAUUGAAUUAGUUUUAAUCAGCCCCUUAAUUCCCCUAGCAGCUAUAAAAUGUUGUUGAAUAGACGAUAUUUCAAAAAUCCAAAAAUGUUGACACACGUAGCACGGAGGAUUCUCGUCUGUGCAGCACAAGCAUUGAUCCUGCAGCCGUGUGUGGUACUGUCAGUUUGCCCAAAAUACAACGCAAAAUAGUGCUCACAAAACAGUAAUUAGUGUUGAUAAAUCACAUUGCGCGUGCUAAUUAUAUUUGCAUUUUGUCCUCAGUAUUGUGGUCAUUUUUAUGAUCAACAUAUAUUUGGCAUAUUAAUGAAGACAGAGACACAAAAUAGAUUGUGCGCCUUAUUCAGCUUGCUCACUUAAAAGACACAAUCCACUUUGCACAAACUUAACACAUGCAAAGAGGAUCUACUAUCAAGUUUGCACAUAUUUUAGUACAAGCAAACCUUUAGUAAAUCAGGGCCUGUGUCCAACUCCAACCUGAAGAAUAGGAUUGCACUUUGUCAGGCCUCCACCUUCAUACCUGUUCAACUUGGGCGUCUCAUUUGAAGACUAAGCCCCCGCUGGUAGCUCUCAACCACAAAAAGGUGGCAUUCUCUCAGGGGGAAACUAAAAAAAUGAAAGUAAAAUAAAUAAAUUAAAUGAUCCUUUAUCUACAUUUUAUCAAGUAUCGCAACAUUUAUCUUCAUUUGAUGGCCUAAUUCUUAAACUGAAUUUAACCUUUAGUAGGACUUCACACACAGUAGUCAAUAUUAACAAAAUGGAAAGGCACAGUAGUCUUACAAAUAUUACAAAAACAUUCUCCUCAAACUAGUUUAUCCUCAGGUCAGAUGAAUUAUGCCUCACAGUUUCUGAAUUCUCCACACAUUUUCUCUCUCAGACACACAAAGAGAAACUUAAUAGCACCGCCUACACUCUAGACAUAGUAAUGUUUCUUUUCAAGUUGAGUUUUACUGUACCAACUAAUUAGGAGUCAACAGUUCACCUUGUUGUUUUAAAAUUCUAUUUAUUUCAUUGUGUUUACUGACCUCUUGUUUUUUAACUAUAUUUCAUUGUGUUCUCUGAACACUAAGCAUGUUAACACUUUCAGCGUGAGAAGGUUCACGUUGUAUACUAACAGACAGAAAGCAAGACAUGUAGAAUAUUACAGCGUGGGGAAAUAAUGGUAGCCUACAUACUUGUUUUCAUCACCGUUUAAACAGGACGAGCAACAGUUGCUCUUUUUGAUUGUACAGCAAAUUUCGACACAGCACCUGAAGCAGCAAACACACACCGCUUUAACUUACGGUUGUGUAAUGUCCCAAACGAUGGCUCACCUGUUGAUGGCAUCAUAUUGCGACAAAAGUAAAUUGUGUCCUCCUCACUUGCUAAGGUGUUCACUUAUUACAAUGUAGAAGACUUUAAAUACACAGCGUUUUGUUUAGGCGCCGCCGGUGAUAAAUUUAACUUAAUCUUUUGACAAUAAAAAGUACCUGGUUGGGCUCUCCUUUGUUGCUGAACCCCACCCUCUCUCAUAUUGUACGCUAUUAAAGAACUGUGAUCGGGUAUAUUCUGAAUUUGGCCCACUAACCUACAAGACGAUAUUAAAUAUGAUUGGAUUUUGUUUCUGACAACUUUUCGUCUCGUUUUAAAUUUGUCGCCACUGGUUUACUGAGGGCUGCGGGGAGGAGCGUGUCUUUGUGUGCGCACAGACUUGCAGAGCCUCUGAGCCGAAAGACCGAGAAGAGGUAAGGUGAUAACAUACGAGUGUUAUAGCGUGUUCCUUUUUCAGUGGAUUUCUAAAUGACUGCCGAUAAUUUUGGCAACUUGUCGUAUACCUAAUCAGUGGCCUAGUGGUUAGAGUGUCCGCCCUGAGAUCGGUAGGUUGUGAGUUCAAACCCCGGCCGAGUCAUACCAAACUCUAUAAAAAAAAUGGGAGCCAUUAUCUCCCUGCUUGGCACUCAGCAUCAAGGGUUGGAAUUGGGGGUUAAACCACCAUAAAUGAUUCCCGGGCGCGGCACCGCUGCUGCCCACUGCUCCCCUCACCUCCCAGCAGGUGAUCAAGGGGAUGGGUCAAAUGCAGAGGACAAAUUUCACCACACCUAGUUUGUGUGACAAUCAUUGGUACUUUAACUGUAUAUAUACAUUUUGUGGGUUUAUUAAAAUAUAAUUCCUCAACUUCAAACAUUUUGAUUUGCAGGGGCACAACGUUUAUUUGAGGGGGCUCAGCCCCCUCUUUUCCCUAGUUAGAGCCGGGCCUGCUUGAUGUUUUUUGACAAUGGACCUGGCAACAAAAAAGUGCCUCUUGACUUCCUGCCAACAGUCUUUCCUUUCUGCUGAGCUUUAUCUCAUCUCACUAAACCGGUUACAGUAACAUUCUGCAUUUAAUGUUAUCAAUGCACCAAACACAAAAGCAAUGCUCCACCUCUCUGAUUGCAAGCGCUCCAGCAGGCAUUGGCUCCAGUGAUUGCUGUGACGGUAGAACGACUUGAUAUGGCUUUGGUUCUGAGCUUUCCAUAAUGUACCCUUUUCUGUUUUCACCUCACAACUUUUAUGGCAUGAAGCUUAACCCAGAUUCACUUUCUCACGCAACAGAAUGGACUGAGGGUUAGACAAGAUGCGUACACAAUCACACAUCAAAAUAAUUUGCACCGUUUAAGGAAAUUGUAGUUAAAUGCGUUAAAUUUGACAGCCUUAGUUAAAAAACAACAACCUCCUAGUUUUACCUGUUGUCAAGUGUAGGUAAAUGACAAUAUGUGCAACCUUGGAUAAUAUUUGGAAAAAUAAGUCUUACCCAUCCAGACCCUUCCAUGUUAUUGCGCCUUUACAGAUUUUCAGCAAGAAUGCCUCGUCCCACAUCUGUAAAUCAAGCAAAGUUGUUACUCUUACCUGCUACCUGCUCCCUCUUAAAAAGGAUCUCCCCCCACCUGUCCAGGAACUAGUCUUUCGUUCGCUAGCAGAUAGCUCACUAGCAGGCGUGACACUGCAAGCUUCCUCCAUGUUGGUGUUGUGUUCCAUGCUGCCUCCUCUUCCCUUCUCUCUCUGUCACAAUGCUGACUGGUCCACUGUGCUGGCGCUGAAGAUGUGCUGUCUGACCGCCAUCUGCAUCUUCCACACUAGCGAUGCUGCAGGCGAUUGUGGCUCCUAUUAUCAUACAUUGCGCAAAACAAAGGGGAUGGAUGGCCGGGGCCUACCCACAAUUCCCUUGUCCAUAAAUACAUACAUAAGGUACUCUAACACAUACUCAUGACGCACUGAUCCUCAUGUUACUUUAUAAAACAAUUUUAUUUGAUCACGUCAGCUGAUGGAAAUAUUUGAACAGACUACAGUUCCCUAAUCUUAAUUUCUUUGAGGGACCUGUGUUACUGGGCUUCACACACACACACAAUCAAAAACAUACUUGCAAGAAAUAAUUUUUCCAACACAAUUGUAAGGGGUCUAACUCAACUGUGCUAAGUGACAAGAACUAGGUUAAAAAGACUGAUAAACAGAAAGCUAAACCGUGUAUGACAAUGCGGUCUUUAGCUUGGAUAAAAAAAAAAAUCAAAAAUCAAAUGAUGCUUAACCCCUGACACCGCAAGCACGAUACGCAUCACCUCAGACGCACAAAGGGGAAAAGUUGCUUCGCAGGCAAACAUCUAUGACAAUAAGAUCAGGGAAUCAUGUCUUCAUUAUAAUGUACAGUCCUUCUUCAAUAAACAUGUCCCAGUUAGCUGU
Molecule: long non-coding RNA, 3845 nt
Organism: Nerophis ophidion (straightnose pipefish)
Lineage: Eukaryota; Metazoa; Chordata; Actinopteri; Syngnathiformes; Syngnathidae
Exons: 2
Source: RefSeq, a predicted model, not a curated record